CGGGCAGUAGUUCAGUGGUAGAGCUCCCGCUUUGUAUGCGGGAAGACCUGGGUUCGAUUCCCGGCUGGCUUA
Toxocara canis (dog roundworm) is the source of this 72-nucleotide transfer RNA. It matches the Rfam family "tRNA". Rfam says of the family: Transfer RNA (tRNA) molecules are approximately 80 nucleotides in length. Their secondary structure includes four short double-helical elements and three loops (D, anti-codon, and T loops). Further hydrogen bonds mediate the characteristic L-shaped molecular structure. tRNAs have two regions of fundamental functional importance: the anti-codon, which is responsible for specific mRNA codon recognition, and the 3' end, to which the tRNAs corresponding amino acid is attached (by aminoacyl-tRNA synthetases). tRNAs cope with the degeneracy of the genetic code in two manners: having more than one tRNA (with a specific anti-codon) for a particular amino acid; and 'wobble' base-pairing, i.e. permitting non-standard base-pairing at the 3rd anti-codon position. The record is from Rfam. Lineage: Eukaryota; Metazoa; Nematoda; Chromadorea; Rhabditida; Toxocaridae.